Molecule: unclassified non-coding RNA, 299 nt
Organism: Oncorhynchus mykiss (rainbow trout)
Lineage: Eukaryota; Metazoa; Chordata; Actinopteri; Salmoniformes; Salmonidae
Rfam family: Metazoan signal recognition particle RNA
About the family: The signal recognition particle (SRP) is a universally conserved ribonucleoprotein. It is involved in the co-translational targeting of proteins to membranes.
Source: Ensembl
GCCGGGUGCGUUGGCAUGUGCCUGUAAUCCAAGUCACUGGGAGGCUGAGGUUGGUGGAUCAAGUGAGCUGAGGAGCUCUGGGCUGCAGCACGCUAUGUCGAAUGGGUGUCCACGCCAAGUUCGGUAUCGAUAUGGUGUUCCUGGGGGAGCCCGGGACCACCAGGUUGUCUAAGGAGGGGUGAACCGGCCCAGGUCGGAAACGAAGCAGGUCAAAUCCCCCGUGCUGUCCAGUAGUGGGAUAAUACCUGUGAGUAGAUGCUGCAGUGCAGUCUUGGCAAAACAUCGAGACCUAAUCUUUU